This 496-nucleotide ribosomal RNA is filed under the name uncultured bacterium. RNAcentral's name for it is "partial 16S ribosomal RNA". It matches the Rfam family "Bacterial small subunit ribosomal RNA", at positions 28 to 506 of the family's 1533-position model. The record is from RNAcentral.
GAUGAACGCUGGCGGCGUGCCUAAUACAUGCAAGUCGAGCGAACAGACGAGGAGCUUGCUCCUCUGACGUUAGCGGCGGACGGGUGAGUAACACGUGGAUAACCUACCUAUAAGACUGGGAUAACUUCGGGAAACCGGAGCUAAUACCGGAUAAUAUAUUGAACCGCAUGGUUCAAUAGUGAAAGACGGUUUUGCUGUCACUUAUAGAUGGAUCCGCGCCGCAUUAGCUAGUUGGUAAGGUAACGGCUUACCAAGGCAACGAUGCGUAGCCGACCUGAGAGGGUGAUCGGCCACACUGGAACUGAGACACGGUCCAGACUCCUACGGGAGGCAGCAGUAGGGAAUCUUCCGCAAUGGGCGAAAGCUUGACGGAGCAACGCCGCGUGAGUGAUGAAGGUCUUCGGAUCGUAAAACUCUGUUAUUAGGGAAGAACAAAUGUGUAAGUAACUAUGCACGUCUUGACGGUACCUAAUCAGAAAGCCACGGCGAACUACGU